This 329-nucleotide unclassified non-coding RNA is filed under the name soil metagenome. Its description in RNAcentral is "partial contains 5.8S ribosomal RNA, internal transcribed spacer 2, and large subunit ribosomal RNA". The stretch from base 1 to 120 matches the Rfam family "5.8S ribosomal RNA", at positions 35 to 154 of the family's 154-position model. The record is from RNAcentral.
GAUGAAGAACGUAGCGAAAUGCGAUACUUGGUGUGAAUUGCAGAAUUCAGUGAAUCAUCGAAUCUUUGAACGCACAUUGCGCCCCCUGGUAUUCCGGGGGGCAUGCCUGUCCGAGCGUCAUUACAACCCUCAAGCUCAGCUUGGUGUUGGGCCCCGCCGCCCCGGCGGGCCCUAAAGUCAGUGGCGGUGCCGUCCGGCUCCGAGCGUAGUAAUUCUUCUCGCUCUGGAGGUCCGGUCGUGUGCUCGCCAGCAACCCCCAAUUUUUUUCAGGUUGACCUCGGAUCAGGUAGGGAUACCCGCUGAACUUAAGCAUAUCAAUAAGCGGAGGA